GAUGAACGCUGGCGGCGUGCCUAAUACAUGCAAGUCGAGCGAACGGACGAGAAGCUUGCUUCUCUGAUGUUAGCGGCGGACGGGUGAGUAACACGUGGAUAACCUACCUAUAAGACUGGGAUAACUUCGGGAAACCGGAGCUAAUACCGGAUAAUAUUUUGAACCGCAUGGUUCAAAAGUGAAAGACGGUCUUGCUGUCACUUAUAGAUGGAUCCGCGCUGCAUUAGCUAGUUGGUAAGGUAACGGCUUACCAAGGCAACGAUGCAUAGCCGACCUGAGAGGGUGAUCGGCCACACUGGAACUGAGACACGGUCCAGACUCCUACGGGAGGCAGCAGGAGGGAAUCUUCCGCAAUGGGCGAAAGCCUGACGGAGCAACGCCGCGUGAGUGAUGAAGGUCUGCGGAUCGUAAAACUCUGUUAUUAGGGAAGAACAUAUGUGUAAGUAACUGUGCACAUCUGGACGGUACCUAAUCAGAAAGCCACGGCUAACUACGU
This 496-nucleotide ribosomal RNA is filed under the name uncultured bacterium. RNAcentral's name for it is "partial 16S ribosomal RNA". It matches the Rfam family "Bacterial small subunit ribosomal RNA", at positions 28 to 506 of the family's 1533-position model. The record is from RNAcentral.